GACGAACGCUGGCGGCGUGCUUAACACAUGCAAGUCGAACGGAAAGGCCUGCUUUCCCUUGUGGAUUGCGGGUGCUCGAGUGGCGAACGGGUGAGUAACACGUGAGUGAUCUGCCCCCAACUUGGGUAUAAGCCUGGGAAACUGGGUCUAAUUCCCGAUAGGACUGCAGGGUGGUGCCUGUGGUGGAAAACGAUUUUCUAGUGGUUGGGGAUGAGCUCGCGGCCUAUCAGCUUGUUGGUGGGGUAAUGGCCUACCAAGGCGGCGACGGGUAGCCGGCCUGAGAGGGUGGACGGCCACAUUGGGACUGAGAUACGGCCCAGACUCCUACGGGAGGCAGCAGUGGGGACUAUUGCACAAUGGGCGGAAGCCUGAUGCAGCGACGCCGCGUGGGGGAUGACGGCCUUCGGGUUGUAAACUCCUUUCGACCGCGAGGAAGCCACCUGGUUGGAAGGGUGGUGACGGUAGUGGUAGAAGAAGCACCGGCUAACUACGUG
RNAcentral lists this ribosomal RNA (494 nucleotides) under uncultured bacterium. RNAcentral describes it as "partial 16S ribosomal RNA". It matches the Rfam family "Bacterial small subunit ribosomal RNA", at positions 28 to 507 of the family's 1533-position model. The record is from RNAcentral.